This 72-nucleotide transfer RNA is filed under the name Myxococcus llanfairpwllgwyngyllgogerychwyrndrobwllllantysiliogogogochensis. Its description in RNAcentral is "Myxococcus sp. AM401 tRNA-Ala". It matches the Rfam family "tRNA". From Rfam's summary of the family: Transfer RNA (tRNA) molecules are approximately 80 nucleotides in length. Their secondary structure includes four short double-helical elements and three loops (D, anti-codon, and T loops). Further hydrogen bonds mediate the characteristic L-shaped molecular structure. tRNAs have two regions of fundamental functional importance: the anti-codon, which is responsible for specific mRNA codon recognition, and the 3' end, to which the tRNAs corresponding amino acid is attached (by aminoacyl-tRNA synthetases). tRNAs cope with the degeneracy of the genetic code in two manners: having more than one tRNA (with a specific anti-codon) for a particular amino acid; and 'wobble' base-pairing, i.e. permitting non-standard base-pairing at the 3rd anti-codon position. RNAcentral also lists the same sequence under 6 other names. Lineage: Bacteria; Pseudomonadati; Myxococcota; Myxococcia; Myxococcales; Myxococcaceae. The record is from RNAcentral.
GGGGACGUAGCUCAGCGGGAGAGCACUCGGUUCGCAUCCGAGCGGUCCCGGGUUCGAAUCCCGGCGGCUCCA